AAUAGAUACCCCGGUAGUCCACGCCGUAAACGAUGGAUACUAGCUGUUUGAGCGCAAGUUUGAGUGGCUAAGCGAAAGUGAUAAGUAUCCCACCUGGGGAGUACGGGCGCAAGCCUGAAACUCAAAGGAAUUGACGGGGGCCCGCACAAGCGGUGGAGCAUGUGGUUUAAUUCGAUGAUACGCGAGGAACCUUACCAGGGCUUAAAUGUAGAUUGACGUAUUUGGAAACAGAUAUUUCUUCGGACAAUUUACAAGGUGCUGCAUGGUUGUCGUCAGCUCGUGCCGUGAGGUGUCAGGUUAAGUCCUAUAACGAGCGCAACCCCUGUUGUUAGUUGCCAGCGAGUAAUGUCGGGAACUCUAGCAAGACUGCCAGUGUAAACUGUGAGGAAGGUGGGGAUGACGUCAAAUCAUCACAGCCCUUACGUCCUGGGCCACACACGUGCUACAAUGGCCGGUACAGAGAGCAGCCACUUAGCGAUAAGGAGCGAAUCUAUAAAGCCGGUCACAGUUCGGAUCGGAGUCUGA
RNAcentral lists this ribosomal RNA (525 nucleotides) under uncultured bacterium. RNAcentral describes it as "bacterial SSU rRNA". It matches the Rfam family "Bacterial small subunit ribosomal RNA", at positions 777 to 1308 of the family's 1533-position model. The record is from RNAcentral.